UUUGGGAUAACACCGGGAAACCGGUGCUAAUACCGAAUAUUGAAACAUAAGUGGCAUCACUGAGUUUUGAAAGAAUUUCGGUGGAGGAUGACUUCGCGGCCUAUCAGCUAGUUGGUGAGGUAAUGGCUCACCAAGGCAACGACGGGUAGCCGGCCUGAGAGGGCGACCGGCCACACUGGGACUGAGACACGGCCCAGACUCCUACGGGAGGCAGCAGUGGGGAAUAUUGGGCAAUGGAGGAAACUCUGACCCAGUGACGCCGCGUGCGGGAUGAAGGCCUUCGGGUUGUAAACCGCUUUCAGUAGGGAAGAAGCGAAAGUGACGGUACCUACAAAAGAAGCACCGGCUAACUAUGUGCCAGCAGCCGCGGUAAUACAUAGGGUGCAAGCGUUGUCCGGAAUUAUUGGGCGUAAAGAGCUCGUAGGUCGUUUGUUACGUCGGAUGUGAAAACCUGAGGCUCAACCUCAGGCCUGCAUUCGAUACGGGCAAACUAGAGUUUGGUAGGGGAGACUGGAAUUCCUGGUGUAGCGGUGGAAUGCGCAGAUAUCAGGAGGAACACCAAUGGCGAAGGCAGGUCUCUGGGCCAAUACUGACACUGAGGAGCGAAAGUCUGGGGAGCGAACAGGAUUAGAUACCCUGGUAGUCCAGACCGUAAACGGUGGGCACUAGUUGUGGGAACCUUCCACGGUUUCUGCGACGCAGCUAACGCAUUAAGUGCCCCGCCUGGGGAGUACGAUCGCAAGAUUAAAACUCAAAGGAAUUGACGGGGCCCCGCACAAGCAGCGGAGCAUGCGGCUUAAUUCGACGCAACGCGAAGAACCUUACCCAAGGCUUGACAUAUAGGGAAAAGUGGCAGAGAUGUCAUGUCCGCAAGGGCUCUAUACAGGUGGUGCAUGGUUGUCGUCACCUCGUG
This 913-nucleotide ribosomal RNA is filed under the name uncultured Actinomycetes bacterium. Its description in RNAcentral is "bacterial SSU rRNA". It matches the Rfam family "Bacterial small subunit ribosomal RNA", at positions 137 to 1064 of the family's 1533-position model. Lineage: Bacteria; Bacillati; Actinomycetota; Actinomycetes. The record is from RNAcentral.